This 776-nucleotide ribosomal RNA is filed under the name uncultured Neocallimastigales. RNAcentral describes it as "partial large subunit ribosomal RNA". It matches the Rfam family "Eukaryotic large subunit ribosomal RNA", at positions 18 to 643 of the family's 3401-position model. Lineage: Eukaryota; Fungi; Neocallimastigomycota; Neocallimastigomycetes; Neocallimastigales. The record is from RNAcentral.
UUCAGACGAUGCGUCAUGCAUAUCAAUAAGCGGAGGAAAAGAAACUAACAAGGAUUCCCCUAGUAACGGCGAGUGAAGCGGGAAGAGCUCAAAUUUGAAAUCUUAAAGGGUUUCCCUUUACGAAUUGUAGUUUAAAGAAGUGUUUUCUGUUGAGGUUUUGGUAAAAGUUCUUUGGAAUAGGACAUCAUAGAGGGUGAGAAUCCCGUAUUUGACCUUUACUUUCAACUUUGUGAUACACUUUCAAAGAGUCGGAUUGUUUGGGAAUGCAGUCCAAAAUGGGUGGUAAAUUUCAUCUAAAGCUAAAUAUUGGCGAGAGACCGAUAGCGAACAAGUACCGUGAGGGAAAGAUGAAAAGAACUUUGAAAAGAGAGUUAAACAGUACGUGAAGUUGUCAAAAGGGAAGCGUUUGACACCAGUGUUGUUUUUCUGAAAAUCAAUUAAAGAACUGUUUAUGCUAAGCUGUUUAGACUUUAUCAGCUAUCUGUUUAGUUUUGAGCUUUUCUUUAAUGCACUUUUCAGUUAACAAGUCAACAUCAAUUUCUUUUGCUGUAAAAAAGCCUGAGGAAGGUGGCUUGAGAUUCGUCUUAAGUGUUUAUAGCCUCUUGCCUAUGCAGUCGGAGAGAUUGAGGUCUGCAGGCGUAGAUCCUUCGGGGCUAAAUGCAUUUGUGCUAAGUUAUAGCAUUUUAUAGACAACUUGUUGACUAUGAUUUGUCUUGUAGCUUACUCGCUUAUGUUAUUUUACCUACGCUUAGGAUGUUGACACACGCGCGUGCUCG